UGAACCGUUAUAACCGGCGAUUUCCGAAUGGGGAAACCCAGUGUGAUUCGUCACACUAUCAUUAACUGAAUCCAUAGGUUAAUGAGGCGAACCGGGGGAACUGAAACAUCUAAGUACCCCGAGGAAAAGAAAUCAACCGAGAUUCCCCCAGUAGCGGCGAGCGAACGGGGAGGAGCCCAGAGCCUGAAUCAGUGUGUGUGUUAGUGGAAGCGUCUGGAAAGGCGCGCGAUACAGGGUGACAGCCCCGUACACAAAAAUGCACAUGCUGUGAGCUCGAUGAGUAGGGCGGGACACGUGGUAUCCUGUCUGAAUAUGGGGGGACCAUCCUCCAAGGCUAAAUACUCCUGACUGACCGAUAGUGAACCAGUACCGUGAGGGAAAGGCGAAAAGAACCCCGGCGAGGGGAGUGAAAAAGAACCUGAAACCGUGUACGUACAAGCAGUGGGAGCACAGAGCAAUCUGUGUGACUGCGUACCUUUUGUAUAAUGGGUCAGCGACUUAUAUUCUGUAGCAAGGUUAACCGAAUAGGGGAGCCGAAGGGAAACCGAGUCUUAACUGGGCGUUAAGUUGCAGGGUAUAGACCCGAAACCCGGUGAUCUAGCCAUGGGCAGGUUGAAGGUUGGGUAACACUAACUGGAGGACCGAACCGACUAAUGUUGAAAAAUUAGCGGAUGACUUGUGGCUGGGGGUGAAAGGCCAAUCAAACCGGGAGAUAGCUGGUUCUCCCCGAAAGCUAUUUAGGUAGCGCCUCGUGAAUUCAUCUCCGGGGGUAGAGCACUGUUUCGGCAAGGGGGUCAUCCCGACUUACCAACCCGAUGCAAACUGCGAAUACCGGAGAAUGUUAUCACGGGAGACACACGGCGGGUGCUAACGUCCGUCGUGAAGAGGGAAACAACCCAGACCGCCAGCUAAGGUCCCAAAGUCAUGGUUAAGUGGGAAACGAU
RNAcentral lists this ribosomal RNA (944 nucleotides) under Escherichia coli. Its description in RNAcentral is "bacterial LSU rRNA". It matches the Rfam family "Bacterial large subunit ribosomal RNA", at positions 91 to 1074 of the family's 2925-position model. Lineage: Bacteria; Pseudomonadati; Pseudomonadota; Gammaproteobacteria; Enterobacterales; Enterobacteriaceae. The record is from RNAcentral.